CACGCCGACCUCAGAUCAGGUAAGACU
Molecule: ribosomal RNA, 27 nt
Filed under: Planococcus citri (citrus mealybug)
Lineage: Eukaryota; Metazoa; Arthropoda; Insecta; Hemiptera; Pseudococcidae
Also listed under: 2 other names
Description: partial 28S ribosomal RNA
Source: RNAcentral